Molecule: ribosomal RNA, 254 nt
Filed under: uncultured bacterium
Lineage: Bacteria
Description: partial 16S ribosomal RNA
Rfam family: Bacterial small subunit ribosomal RNA
Source: RNAcentral
UACGAAGGUGGCAAGCGUUGUUCGGAUUUACUGGGCGUAAAGGGAGCGUAGGUGGUGCGGUAAGCCCUCCGGGAAAGCUUCAGGCUUAACCUGAAAAGGUCGGGGGGGACUGCCACGCUAGAGGACGGGAGAGGAUGGCGGAAUUCCCGGUGUAGCAGUGAAAUGCGUAGAGAUCGGGAGGAACAUCUGUGGCGAAGGCGGCCAUCUGGACCAGCACUGACACUGAGGCACGAAAGCGUGGGGAGCAAACAGGG